AUAUAGGAUUCUUUGGUCUUCUUCGUUUGCUCGAGCGGCGACCCCCAGGAGAGAAGAUAUCAGAACCCGAAGCGCCUCGACUCCCUCUCCUCGCCCCUUCCUCGGCGCAAGAUUGACUCUUGUCGAAACCCUAACCCUCAACCUAGUCCCGACCCAGCUUCUCCUCCGGCGAUAGUGGCUGGUUCUCCAGCGAUGAUGAGAUUCACACCGAUCUCUUCAACCAAACCUCUUCUCUCACCCUUAACAAUUGCGAUGAUGAUGAGACCGAAACCCUAAUUUCCUCCUCCACCGACUCAUCGGACGCCAUUAAUCUUAGGAAAGAGGUGGAGAAAUUGACGGUCAAGGAGAGCUUCGCCGUGGUGAAGAGAUCCGGCGAUCCAUGGCGAAGAUGAUUGUGGACGAGAAGGAGCUGUACGAGCCCCCUACUCUGGAGGAGCUCUUGCAUUGCCUCCUCUCUCUUAACUCUCGCCGCCACCACUGCACCAUCAUCUCCGCCUUCUCCGAGAUCUGCCACCACCGCCGAUAAGCAACACCCUUUAGUUUGGUGCUGAGAAAAUGCAUAAGGGCAGCAAGUAUGUGUUAUUUCUGGAUGAUGAUGUUAGACUGCAUCUUGGAUCAGUUGGAGCUCUAACUGCAGAAAUGGAGAAAAUUCCUGAGAUAUUUAUUCAAACUGGAUAUCCUCUUGAUCUGCCUUCUAGAAGCUUGGGAAGCUAUUGCAUUUAUGAAUAUGACAUGAUACUGGAAUUACCUGAGGAAGCAAACUUUUGUUCUUGAAUCUUACAUUUCAGAGGUUAACUGGCUCAUGAACCAAGCAUUAUUUUUUGUGCACUGCUAUCUACCUUGGGCGUUUGUUGUACCAUAUUUCAUGGCAACUAUACAAUUUUUGGCUGCCAUAAGAGCACAAAUUAGUAACUAUCUCUUCAGAGAAUCAAAUUCAUUAUCUUGUGGCUUUGUCAUUGGCUGGCUGCUUGGUAGUUUGCAUAGUUAUUACACUUGUCUCAACGUGGAACUUGACAAAGGUGGAAAUUCAGUUGUGCAACAUGUCAUCUCCUGAGGGACCGAAAACGUCACUUGGUUCCUAUAACUGGGGACUCGUAUGCAUCGUCUUCACAUCAUUAAUUUAUUUCAGGUAUUUUUUGCCAUGCUCAUAGACAAUUUCUUGUGCCCCAUUUCUGCGAUGCGGUCGUAUUUU
Molecule: long non-coding RNA, 1192 nt
Organism: Dioscorea cayenensis subsp. rotundata (Guinea yam)
Lineage: Eukaryota; Viridiplantae; Streptophyta; Magnoliopsida; Dioscoreales; Dioscoreaceae
Exons: 6
Source: RefSeq, a predicted model, not a curated record